CACUUCGAUCGAAUCGCCUUAAAUGUGCCCGAUCUCGUCAGAUCUCGGAUGCUAAGCAGGUGCGAGCCUGGACAGUGGUUGGAUGGGCAGUCACCAUGGAUAAAAGCGGUGUUACAGGCA
Molecule: ribosomal RNA, 120 nt
Filed under: Petromyzon marinus (sea lamprey)
Lineage: Eukaryota; Metazoa; Chordata; Hyperoartia; Petromyzontiformes; Petromyzontidae
Source: RNAcentral